UACGGAGGGUGCGAGCGUUGUCCGGAAUCAUUGGGCGUAAAGGGCGCGUAGGUGGCCCGGUCAGUUCGUGGUGAAAGCGCGGGGCUCAACCCUGCGUCGGCCAUGAAUACUGCCGCGGCUGGAGCACUGUAGAGGCAGGCGGAAUUCCGGGUGUAGCGGUGGAAUGCUUAGAGAUCCGGAAGAACACCGGUGGCGAAGGCGGCCUGCUGGGCAGUUGCUGACACUGAGGCGCGACAGCGUGGGGAGCAAACAGG
Molecule: ribosomal RNA, 254 nt
Filed under: uncultured bacterium
Lineage: Bacteria
Description: partial 16S ribosomal RNA
Rfam family: Bacterial small subunit ribosomal RNA
Source: RNAcentral